Molecule: ribosomal RNA, 250 nt
Filed under: uncultured bacterium
Lineage: Bacteria
Description: partial 16S ribosomal RNA
Rfam family: Bacterial small subunit ribosomal RNA
Source: RNAcentral
UACGGAGGGUGCAAGCGUUAUCCGGAUUUAUUGGGUUUAAAGGGUGCGUAGGCGGCCUAUUAAGUCAGGGGUGAAAGACGGUGGCUCAACCAUCGCAGUGCCUUUGAUACUGAUGGGCUUGAAUGCAGCUGAGGUAGGCGGAAUGUGACAAGUAGCGGUGAAAUGCAUAGAUAUGUCACAGAACACCGAUUGCGAAGGCAGCUUACUAAAGUGCGAUUGACGCUGAGGCACGAAAGCGUGGGGAUCAAAC